RNAcentral lists this ribosomal RNA (300 nucleotides) under uncultured bacterium. Its description in RNAcentral is "bacterial SSU rRNA". It matches the Rfam family "Archaeal small subunit ribosomal RNA", at positions 1036 to 1338 of the family's 1478-position model. The record is from RNAcentral.
AGAUAACGAACGAGACCCUCAUCUCUAUUUGCAACCUGUCUCUCCGGAGGCGGCGCACUAUAGAGAGACCGCUGGUGUGAAACCAGAGGAAGGCGAGGGCAACGACAGGUCAGUAUGCCCCGAAUGUCCUGGGCUACACGCGCGCUACAAAGGACGGGACAAUGGGAAGCCAGGCCGAGAGGCCGAGCUAACCCGAAACCCGUUCAUAGUUCGGAUUGAGGGCUGUAACUCGCCCUCAUGAAGCUGGAUUCCGUAGUAAUCGUGUUUCAAUAUAGCACGGUGAAUAUGCCCCUGCUCCUU